GACGAACGCUGGCGGCGUGCCUAAUACAUGCAAGUAGAACGCUGAAGGAGGAGCUUGCUUCUCUGGAUGAGUUGCGAACGGGUGAGUAACGCGUAGGUAACCUGCCUGGUAGCGGGGGAUAACUAUUGGAAACGAUAGCUAAUACCGCAUAAUAGUAGAUGUUGCAUGACAUUUGCUUAAAAGGUGCAAUUGCAUCACUACCAUAUGGACCUGCGUUGUAUUAGCUAGUUGGUGGGGUAACGGCUCACCAAGGCGACGCUACAUAGCCGACCUGAGAGGGUGAUCGGCCACACUGGGACUGAGACACGGCCCAGACUCCUACGGGAGGCAGCAGUAGGGAAUCUUCGGCAAUGGACGGAAGUCUGACCGAGCAACGCCGCGUGAGUGAAGAAGGGUUUCGGAUCGGAAAGCUCUGUUGUAAGAGAAGAACGAGUGUGAGAGUGGAAAGUUCACACUGUGACGGUAUCUUACCAGAAAGGGACGGCUAACUACGUG
Molecule: ribosomal RNA, 495 nt
Filed under: uncultured bacterium
Lineage: Bacteria
Description: partial 16S ribosomal RNA
Rfam family: Bacterial small subunit ribosomal RNA
Source: RNAcentral